GAAUAUAAAACUGUGAGUUUUAACUAUUACCUGAUGCAGAAUUAUUUUAAGACAUUUAAAAAUAAGGAAAUUGGUUUAUUGUAUUCAGCUUGAACAGCACUUUUACUAAGCACUUGCCAAGAAAUAAUGAAGAGAAAAGGUUUUACUCAAAGCAUUAUUUUUUAUCUACGUUAGCUGGUUUCAAUCAACAUUAUAGACCAGGAAUCCUCAAAAGUCAUUGCUGGUUUAGUCUUUAUUUUUCAACCAUUUCCUACUAACAAUUUGACUUUAAAUAUCCACUUUCUACAAAAUACUUGUAAUGAGACACCCUUCUUCCAUCUCAUCAAAACAUGCACUUUUGUUGUCUUCCCUGUUCUGAGAGUAAGAUUUUCAUCUUCCUUUCAGUGUAUGCUUUGCUUCAUUAAUUCUGUUGGUAGGUUAUGGUAAUGUUUGUAUUGGUCAUAAAUCAAUCAUUUGGACAAUAUAAAGUAGUAACCAUGUGUGUCUUUGUCUUUAUUUUUAUGUUAUUGCCAUGUGAUUACUACUCUGAAACAUUUGCUGAAUAUCCCCUCUAAUUUAUUACAGGUGUUGGUUGUUCUAUUGUUAAUCCUUAUUAAAUAUUACCAAGGAUUUCCCAAUUAGUACAUUUAUACAUUUUCACACAGAAAGGCAUGUAUUAAAAAGUUGGCCCAAUACUUUUGUGUCAAACUUUCAGAAAUUCAAACAUAUAGAAGGCCCGGGAGACAGAAGCCCUGUGUGGCUCUCUUCUAGGGUUGGCUUCUAGUGACUUUAUAGAUGAUGAUCUGCUAGAGUUUCCAAGAAAAUACAUGCUUGUGACCCCAGUCCUUACUGUGUCCUUACUCCUUUUUUUUUUUCUGUCUGCACAUGAUUCCUGUAUUGCACUUUUCAAUGGGCUUUAAUAACAUAUUUCUGUUGGUGUCUGUUACUAUAUUUCCACCAGAAUAACUCUUUCUUGGGCAUCUAUUUUUCCAUGACAUUUAUUUAAGCUAUACUUAAUUAUUAGAGCAAAACAGAAAAGCAAUGGCUUUUCAUAAAACUGAUUGUAUCUGUUUAUUCAUUUAGAAUUAGCUAUUGCUUUAGUUCAAAACAUACAAGCAGUAGCAAUAUAAGUUGCAUUCAAUGUUACCUCAAUGAAUUUAUUAUCAGAACUAUUAUUAACUUUUCCCCCUUCAGAGCAUGAAAGUGUUUUGUUUUGUUGAAUUCUUUUCCAGUAUGCUCAGGGCUAAAAGUGCUUCAUUGUUUAUAUGCAGAUAUGUUUUGUUAUGCUUAUUUUUUAUUUAGUUUUGUAAUUACAGCAGAAAUUGCUGUGCAGUCAUGUUUAACUAUGAGUGCUAUUUUUAUUUAUUCUGGUGAUCAAGGUUGUCCAAUUCUUUCAAGGCAUCCCAACUCUUCUUUUCUUUCUAACAACGUAGUGCCAAAUAUAUUUCAUCACUGUGCUCUUGUGUGUUGGGCAGUCAUUAAGGAAAGUAUCUAAACUGAUCAAUUCCACUUUUGAUCUUGAAACAAAUAAGGGAUAAGCCUGCUACAUUUAAAAA
Molecule: long non-coding RNA, 1535 nt
Organism: Oxyura jamaicensis (ruddy duck)
Lineage: Eukaryota; Metazoa; Chordata; Aves; Anseriformes; Anatidae
Exons: 2
Source: RefSeq, a predicted model, not a curated record